RNAcentral lists this ribosomal RNA (253 nucleotides) under uncultured bacterium. RNAcentral describes it as "partial 16S ribosomal RNA". It matches the Rfam family "Bacterial small subunit ribosomal RNA", at positions 524 to 776 of the family's 1533-position model. The record is from RNAcentral.
UACGUAGGUGGCAAGCGUUAUCCGGAUUUACUGGGUGUAAAGGGCGUGUAGGCGGGACUGCAAGUCAGAUGUGAAAGUUAUGGGCUCAACCCAUAACCUGCAUUUGAAACUGUAGUUCUUGAGUGAUGGAGAGGCAGGCGGAAUUCCGUGUGUAGCGGUGAAAUGCGUAGAUAUACGGAGGAACACCAGUGGCGAAGGCGGCCUGCUGGACAUUAACUGACGCUGAGGCGCGAAAGCGUGGGGAGCAAACAGG